GGUUGGUCCGAGUGCAGUGGUGUUUACGAGUAAUUGAUCACAAUCAGUUACAGAUUCCUUUGUCCCUUCUCCACUCCCACUGCUCCACUUGACCAGCCUUAA
This 102-nucleotide Y RNA is filed under the name Propithecus coquereli (Coquerel's sifaka). Its description in RNAcentral is "Y RNA (ENSPCOG00000009678.1)". It matches the Rfam family "Y RNA". Rfam says of the family: Y RNAs are components of the Ro ribonucleoprotein particle (Ro RNP), in association with Ro60 and La proteins. The Y RNAs and Ro60 and La proteins are well conserved, but the function of the Ro RNP is not known. In humans the RNA component can be one of four small RNAs -- hY1, hY3, hY4 and hY5. The record is from Rfam by way of RNAcentral. Lineage: Eukaryota; Metazoa; Chordata; Mammalia; Primates; Indriidae.